RNAcentral lists this long non-coding RNA (1254 nucleotides) under Betta splendens (Siamese fighting fish). Its description in RNAcentral is "lncRNA (ENSBSLG00000015271.1)". The record is from RNAcentral. Lineage: Eukaryota; Metazoa; Chordata; Actinopteri; Anabantiformes; Osphronemidae.
AUGGUUAUUUCCCUGGGAGGAUUUCCUGCUCUCACGCGGUCCUCAGCCUCCAGUUCAGCCGCGCGCUGCUCAGUCUCCAGUUCAGCCGCGCGCUGCUCAGUCUCCAGUUCAGCCGCGCGCUGCUCAGCCUCCAAGUCAGCCGCGCGCUGCUCAGCCUCCAAGUCAGCCGCGCGCUGCUCAGUCUCCAGAUCAGCCGCGCGCUGCUCAGUUUCCAGUUCAGCCGCGCGCUGCUCAGUCUCCAGAUCAGCCGCGCGCUGCUCAGUCUCCAGUUCAGCCGCGCGCUGUUCAAUCUCCAGCUCAAUCGUGCUUUGCCCAGUCUCCAGCUCAAUCGUGUUUUGCCCAGUCUCCUGCUCAAUCGUGUUUUCCCCAGUCUCCAGCCCAAGCUCCAGACGCCGCGGUCCCGUUUCACCAUGCGACUGUCCGUCGUUUGAGGCGCUGGGCGCGGUGUGGACCGGACCUCUGUACCGGGAUCCGCAUGGUGAAACGGGGCCGCGGCGUCUGGAGCUUGGGCUGGAGACUGGGGAAAACACGAUUGAGCAGGAGACUGGGCAAAGCACGAUUGAGCUGGAGAUUGAACAGCGCGCGGCUGAACUGGAGACUGAGCAGCGCGCGGCUGAUCUGGAGACUGAGCAGCGCGCGGCUGAACUGGAAACUGAGCAGCGCGCGGCUGACUUGGAGGCUGAGCAGCGCGCGGCUGAACUGGAGACUGAGCAGCGCGCGGCUGAACUGGAGACUGAGCAGCGCGCGGCUGACUUGGAGGCUGAGCAGCGCGCGGCUGAACGGGAGACUGAGCAGCGCGCGGCUGAACUGGAGGCUGAGGACCGCGUGAGAGCAGGAAAUCCUCCCAGGGAAAUAACCAUGGAGCUGGGCAGGUUGGUGCAGGCACGACGAUCCGACGAGGCGGAGAGGAUGAAACCGAAACCAUACUUCCGCGGGGGAGUUAUAUUUGCCGUAAAAAACAAGGGGAAAAACAGUCACUGACCUGACCGGAGGCUAAGUGCUGGCUGGGUCCAAGUGUGGCCAGAUUGUUCUGUCAGGGACUCGGGCAGGCGGCGAACCCACAUGCACAGCACAGAGGCAGGAUUACGAUCAGAAAGGUUUAUUCUUAAGGCACGGUCAGACGGUCCAGGUCAUACACGAAAUGGCUCGACAAAAGUACAGGCAGGGAACAGGCAAAAACUCACGGUCAGUAGAUACUCCAGGGUCAGGCAGGAUACAUGGUGCAAACAGGAAUAAACACGAAAAACACGAACA